CUACGGGAGGCUGCAGUCGGGAAUAUUGCGCAAUGGAGGAAACUCUGACGCAGUGACGCCGCGUAUAGGAAGAAGGUUUUCGGAUUGUAAACUAUUGUCGUUAGGGAAGAUAAAAGACAGUACCUAAGGAGGAAGCUCCGGCUAACUACGUGCCAGCAGCCGCGGUGAAUACGUAGGGAGCAAGCGUUAUCCGGAUUUAUUGGGUUUAAAGGGUCCGUAGGCGGAUCAUUAAGUCAGUGGUGAAAGCCGGCAGCUCAACUGUCGAACUGCCAUUGAUACUGGUGAUCUUGAAUACGGUUGAAGUUGGCGGAAUAGGUCAUGUAGCGGUGAAAUGCUUAGAUAUGACCUAGAACACCGAUUGCGAAGGCAGCCAACUAAGCCGUUAUUGACGCUGAGGGACGAAAGCGUGGGGAGCGAACAGGAUUAGAUACCCCGGUAGUC
This 441-nucleotide ribosomal RNA is filed under the name uncultured bacterium. RNAcentral describes it as "partial 16S ribosomal RNA". It matches the Rfam family "Bacterial small subunit ribosomal RNA", at positions 339 to 795 of the family's 1533-position model. The record is from RNAcentral.